CUUCACAUUAAAGAAGCAUCCCACAGAGAACAGGUGGUGGUAUGUUUCUCUUAGGUGGGGAUGUCAUCUUUUCCGAGGUACUCCUUCCUCAGUUCAUAACUAAAAGGAGUAUUUUUUCUUUAUCUUGGCCGAGCAACCCUGGAAUCUCUGCACGUCAUGGGGUAGAUCCUAUACGUCAGCGAUUAGAGCUCCAAUUUUGUUUGGCAUCG
Molecule: long non-coding RNA, 209 nt
Filed under: Elaeis guineensis (African oil palm)
Lineage: Eukaryota; Viridiplantae; Streptophyta; Magnoliopsida; Arecales; Arecaceae
Description: long non-coding RNA (EGUI_LNC036415)
Source: RNAcentral